GAAACUUACCAGGUCCAGACUGGGUAAGGAUGUACAGAUUGACAGCUCUUUACAGAUUCUCAGGGUGGUGGUGCAUGGCCGUUCUUAGUUGGUGGAGUGAUUUGUCUGGUUAACUCCGUUAACGAACGAGACCUUAACCUGCUAAAUAGCGUCGAGUUUCUUCUUGAAACGAAGAUGUCUUCUUAGAGGGACGUCGCGUGUCUAACGCGAGGAGGUGUGAGGCAAUAA
RNAcentral lists this ribosomal RNA (228 nucleotides) under uncultured marine eukaryote. RNAcentral's name for it is "partial 18S ribosomal RNA". It matches the Rfam family "Eukaryotic small subunit ribosomal RNA", at positions 1210 to 1456 of the family's 1831-position model. The record is from RNAcentral.